GACGAACGCUGGCGGCAGGCUUAACACAUGCAAGUCGAGCGCCCCGCAAGGGGAGCGGCGGACGGGUGAGUAACGCGUGGGAAUCUGCCCUUUGGUGUGGGACAACCACGGGAAACUGUGGCUAAUACCGCAUGAGCCCGAGAGGGGAAAGCAGCAAUGCGCCGAAGGAUGAGCCCGCGUCGGAUUAGCUAGUUGGCGGGGUAAUGGCCCACCAAGGCGAUGAUCCGUAGCUGGUCUGAGAGGAUGAUCAGCCACACUGGGACUGAGACACGGCCCAGACUCCUACGGGAGGCAGCAGUGGGGAAUAUUGGACAAUGGGGGAAACCCUGAUCCAGCCAUGCCGCGUGAGUGAUGAAGGCCUUAGGGUUGUAAAGCUCUUUCGACGGGGACGAUGAUGACGGUACCCGUAGAAGAAGCCCCGGCUAACUUCGUGCCAGCCGCCGCGGUAA
Molecule: ribosomal RNA, 449 nt
Filed under: uncultured bacterium
Lineage: Bacteria
Description: partial 16S ribosomal RNA
Rfam family: Bacterial small subunit ribosomal RNA
Source: RNAcentral